Molecule: ribosomal RNA, 497 nt
Filed under: uncultured eubacterium WR107
Lineage: Bacteria
Description: bacterial SSU rRNA
Rfam family: Bacterial small subunit ribosomal RNA
Source: RNAcentral
GAGUUUGAUCAUGGCUCAGAGCGAACGCUGGCGGCAUGCUUAACACAUGCAAGUCUCACGGGCAGCAAUGUCAGUGGCGGACGGGUGAGUAACGCGUAGGUAUCUAUCUCUGGGUGGGGGAUAACCGUGGGAAACUACGGCUAAUACCGCAUGACACCUGAGAGUCAAAGGCGCAAGUCGCCUGGAGAGGAGCCUGCGUACGAUUAGCUUGUUGGUGGGGUAAAGGCCUACCAAGGCGACGAUCGUUAGCUGGUCUGAGAGGACGACCAGCCACACUGGGACUGAGACACGGCCCANACUCCUACGGGAGGCAGCAGUGGGGAAUUUUGGACAAUGGGCGAAAGCCUGAUCCAGCAAUGCCGCGUGUGUGAAGAAGGCCUUCGGGUUGUAAAGCACUUUUGUCCGGAAAGAAAACCUCGUGGUUAAUACCCGUGGGGGAUGACGGUACCGGAAGAAUAAGCACCGGCUAACUACGUGCCAGCAGCCGCGGUAAUACG